Molecule: ribosomal RNA, 253 nt
Filed under: uncultured bacterium
Lineage: Bacteria
Description: partial 16S ribosomal RNA
Rfam family: Bacterial small subunit ribosomal RNA
Source: RNAcentral
UACAGAGGGGGCAAGCGUUGUUCGGAAUUACUGGGCGUAAAGGGCUCGUAGGCGGCCAACUAAGUCGGACGUGAAAGCCCCGGGCUCAACCUGGGAAUUGCAUUCGAGACUGAAUAGCUAGGGUACGGUAGAGGGAAGCGGAAUUUCCGGUGUAGCGGUGAAAUGCGUAGAUAUCGGAAGGAACAUCAGUGGCGAAAGCGGCUUCCUGGACCAGUACCGACGUUCAGGCACGAAAGCGUGGGGAGCAAACAGG